UUGACCUCAAAUCAGGUAGGACUACCCGCUGAACUUAAGCAUAUCAAUAAGCGGAGGAAAAGAAACUAACAAGGAUUCCCCUAGUAACUGCGAGUGAAGCGGGAAGAGCUCAAAUUUAAAAUCUGGCGGUUCUUGACCGUCCGAGUUGUAAUCUAGAGAAGUGUUACCCGUGCUGGACCGUGUACAAGUCUCCUGGAAUGGAGCAUCAUAGAGGGUGAGAAUCCCGUCUUUGACAUGGACUGCCUGCACGUCUUGGUGCGCUCUCRAAGAGUCGAGUUGUUUGGGAAUGCAGCUCAAAAUGGGUGGUAAAUGCCAUCUAAAGCUAAAUAUUGGCGAGAGACCGAUAGCGAACAAGUACCGUGAGGGAAAGAUGAAAAGAACUUUGGAAAGAGAGUUAAACAGCACGUGAAAUUGCUGAAAGGGAAACGCUUGAAGUCAGUCGCGUUGGCUAGAAAUCAGCCUUGCUUUUGCUUGGUGUACUUUCUUGUUGACGGGUCAGCAUCAGUUUCGAUCGCUGGAUAAGGAUUUUGGGAAUGUGGCAUCCUUGGAUGUGUUAUAGCCCAUUGUCGCAUGCAGUGGUGGGGAUUGAGGAACUCAGCACGCCGCAAGGCCGGGUCUCUGACCACGCUCGUGCUUAGGAUGCUGGCAUAAUGGCUUUAAUCGA
RNAcentral lists this ribosomal RNA (664 nucleotides) under Inocybe subcarpta. RNAcentral describes it as "eukaryotic LSU rRNA". It matches the Rfam family "Eukaryotic large subunit ribosomal RNA", at positions 1 to 647 of the family's 3401-position model. Lineage: Eukaryota; Fungi; Basidiomycota; Agaricomycetes; Agaricales; Inocybaceae. The record is from RNAcentral.